ACCUCCGUGGUUUAGUAGGUAAAAUACUCGACUAUGUUGCGGUAUGAUUCGGGUUCGAGCCCCGGUGAAGGCA
Henosepilachna vigintioctopunctata is the source of this 73-nucleotide non-coding RNA. The record is from the annotation of a GenBank genome assembly. Lineage: Eukaryota; Metazoa; Arthropoda; Insecta; Coleoptera; Coccinellidae.